GUUCGUUCACCCUUAUGGGCGCAUAACACCUAGAGCAUGGAACGGGGCCUAGG
Molecule: non-coding RNA, 53 nt
Submitted as: unclassified sequences
Source: Rfam